GACGGCUGUAACUAUAACGGUCCUAAGGUAGCAAAUUUCCUUGUCGUCUUAAUAACGACCUGCAUGAAACAUAGAACGAUUUGAUAGCUGUCUUGCACACACAUCAUGGUAAAAUAUUCAUCAGUACAAAUAAUAUGCUGCUGACACUAAAGGACAAAAAGACCCUUUGAAGCUUUAUAGGGAUAAAACUCUGGUUAACGAAGUGUCCUCUGAUAGCGUGUUGUUAAAUCCAUCGAAGCGGUGUUCAUCUUGUUGCUUCUCCGCUUUUUUAAUUGCUAAAGCCUUACAAGAUUUACAACAUCAAGACCACUGUUUAAUUGGGGCGAUAACCUUAUCCACAGCCACCUAAGGUGAACAAAGCGAUACAAGGAUCCUUAAUUUGACCAACUAAUAAGUGCAAAGAUACAUGUUUUGCUUAAUGGCCCAACAAGUCCUUCCCAGUACUUAAAUGCUAUCUUAAUGAGCUUUAAAUUAAUUUACCAGAGUGAAGCUACUCUACGGAUAACAGGCUUAAUUUCCGCAAUAUCCAAGGUCACAUUAUCAAGAAUAAAGCACCUUGAUGUCGGCUUAUCUCAACCAAGGUAAGUAGCCCAAAUAUUGGUGGGAGUGCUCAUCCCGUAAAAAGGUACGUGAGCUGGGUUCAAUACG
RNAcentral lists this ribosomal RNA (648 nucleotides) under Symbiodinium sp. B19a. RNAcentral's name for it is "partial 23S ribosomal RNA". It matches the Rfam family "Bacterial large subunit ribosomal RNA", at positions 1929 to 2618 of the family's 2925-position model. Lineage: Eukaryota; Dinophyceae; Suessiales; Symbiodiniaceae. The record is from RNAcentral.